GGGCCAUCCAGUUCCUUCAGCUGGAGAAGCUCUACCAUGAACGUCUGCUCUCCAACCUUGCCGCCCUGCAGGAUAACUGGGAGAGCCAGUGGAAAGAGAAGAAAAGCGAUGAAAGCUGUUUGCCCGAUGAGACGGACGGCAUCGGUCAGAAACACAUUGAGACCCUGAGCCAGAUCUGCAGGACACAUCAUCGACCAUCCACCUGUGUGGAAGAGAACAAGCUGAAUGCAACACUGAAAAACAUUCAAAGCAAGAAGGAGACGCUACAACCCUGCCAUGAUAAAG
Long non-coding RNA from Notothenia coriiceps (black rockcod), 285 nucleotides. RefSeq lists it as uncharacterized. The record is from RefSeq and is a predicted model, not a curated record. The transcript has 4 exons. Lineage: Eukaryota; Metazoa; Chordata; Actinopteri; Perciformes; Nototheniidae.